RNAcentral lists this long non-coding RNA (1930 nucleotides) under Monodelphis domestica (gray short-tailed opossum). RNAcentral describes it as "lncRNA (ENSMODG00000040863.1)". The record is from RNAcentral. Lineage: Eukaryota; Metazoa; Chordata; Mammalia; Didelphimorphia; Didelphidae.
CUGGACCAAUUACAGACCCAGAGGUCCUAAGGAGUUAUUGACUAGUUCUAAAUAUUUGAUUGGGUGUAACCAGCUGCGUGUUUGGCAAAGGAUCCAGACUCAGAUGUCCGUCCCUCUGUUUGUGUUUGGCGGCGGAGCUGUCUGGGAUUGCGAUCCUCUUUGAAGUUCCUUACUCCGCUUCGCUCCAUUUCCCAAUUCCCAUCCCUUACACAUCUUGUUUUUUGUUUGUUCCUCAUUUUCGGCCCCAUCGCUAUUGGUUUGGGGCGGGCUCCCGAGCCCUGCAGAAAGGCUACUUUCACACCUGCAGAAUAUCACAUUGCAUGAUGGUAUUCCCUUCUCUCUCACCUUCCAUUCCCGGGGGCUUGGGAAACUGUAAUUCUAUCUGCCUUCUCUCCGCCUGCCUUUGCGCCCCGCCAUGAGAUUGUCUGCCUGUUUCCUCCUCACCUUCCGCUGACCCCAAAGACGGUUGUACCUGGGAGGUGGCGGCCUUGGCCCAGAGAAGGAACUGGAAGAACUCAGAUUCAUCCCCGUCCCAACAUUAUCAGUUUCCCGGAGGCCUUCCCAGACGGAGUCAAAGAAUUCAAGAUGUCUUCUGUCAUGGAGUUUUGUGUCUUAAGGUUCCUAGACUUGGGUUCCCAGACUCAGUCUCAUGAGUUUCAAGAAAGAAGACAUUUCAGAGAACAUCUAGUCCAGGAUUCUUAACUUGGGGCUGAUGAACUUAAAAAAAAAUUAUUAACUGCAUUUCAAAAUGAUUCAUUUCUUUUGAACUCUUAUAUAUUUUAUUUUAAGCAUUUAGAAAUGUUCUUCUGAUAAUGGGUCCAUAGACUUCACCACAUUGCCCAAGGGAUCUGGUCCACGAUGCUAGGAAGGUUAAGAAUCUUUAAUCUAGUCCAACUCUCCCAUUUUAUUGAGGAAAACUGAGGUCAGAGGAGGAGGGUUAGAUAAUUUGUCUGAAGCCAAAUAGGUAUUAAGCAUAAGGUUAGAAGAAUCUCCCCAAAGUUUUCCUUGUUUCCAAAGAAUGUUUCUUUAAAUGUUGAUUCAACUUGUGGAGGUAUUCCAGUGGCUUAACCUAAGAUAUAGGUUGGUUAGUUGGUUUUUCUGUUUAUUUUUGCCUCUAUUGCCACAUUAGGACUCUGUGCAAAGGUUAGAGAUGCCAUUAUCCCCACCCAUUUGGUGUUAUUCUCUACUGUCAAGAGGGAAGGACUAUGAAGUUCCUUUCUAGCCCUAUUUAAUUAUCAAGACAUUUUCUAAAUGUAUAAUCUACAACCCACAUAAUGGUUAUACAAAAUACUGGCUUUGGAGUAAGAGGACAAUUACUUCCCACCUCUGAUACCUACUUGUUGUGUGACCUUCGGCAUGUCCCCUACAACCUCUUUAGGACCCAUUUUCUUUAUCUCUAAAGUGAAAGGGUUGGAUUAGAUCAUCUAUAGGUCAUCACUGAGGCACAGACAGUUUGUGGUUGUAUAUCUAAUAUCAGGCACAGCAAACGGCUCAUUUAGGCACAUUUAGUAAAUAUUGGAACUAGAAUUCAAACCCAGGAUCCUCAUGGAUUUGGGUCCAAUUUUUUUCCUUCUACAUUAAUUGAACUAAAUCUCAACAAGCUAAUAACCAAAUAUGAUUUCUUUUCUUUUUUAGUGGUCUAAAUAUAUGAAUAGUUUUAUUUUAUUUUUAUUAUAAAGAUAUUUUAUUUUAUCAAUUAUAUGUGAUAACAAAUUUCCACAUAAGUUUUCUGAAGUUAUAUAAUUCAAAUAGUUUCUCUCCCCACCCCCCUUUCCUCCUUCUGUCCCAGAGCUGGCAAGCAAUUCAAUCUGGGUUUUGCAUGUAUCAUAUUGCAAAACAUAUUUCCACAUUGUUCAUUUUUGUAAGAGAAUAAUCAUAUAAAACCAAAAUCCCCAAUAAAACCCCAAAUAAACUAAAGUGAAAAAUUGUA